Molecule: long non-coding RNA, 1024 nt
Filed under: Gossypium barbadense (sea-island cotton)
Lineage: Eukaryota; Viridiplantae; Streptophyta; Magnoliopsida; Malvales; Malvaceae
Description: long non-coding RNA (GBAR_LNC003519)
Source: RNAcentral
GAAAGGCUUGGUUUUUAUUUUAUUUUAUUUUUCUCACGCCAAAAUCUUCCGUUUCGUUGACUUUGUUUCUAUGCGGUACCUUCUUCAUCUCCUACAUCCAUACAUACAUAAUCGGAUCCAAUUCCAAUCCCAGUUCCUCGGCAGGUAUAUGCAGCUAUGUUUAUCAUGUGUCUGCUAUAUAUAAUAUUUCUUCACAAUUUCUUUUUCCUUCUGCUAGCUGAAAGUAUAUUUUGCUAUAUACAUACUCCUCAAUUGAUUUUAGAAUAUUGGUGUUUUCAUGGAGAAAUACAUAGCUAAUCAAGUUUUAGUUGCUUAUCUGCUUGCUAGGCAUACAUAGAUGGUUCAAAUUAUAUGUGUCACAUCAUCACCUAAUUAAUUUUUUCUAAGUAUGCAAUCCUUUCGGUACCCAGAAAUUUGAGAUAGUUAUAAUAGAUUUUUUUUUAAAAUCUUAUUUGUCAUGUUAUUACAGUUUAAGGUUGAUUCUGGAGCUUUUCAGUCUGGUCAUCGUUUACGGUUCCAUCGGCGGUGCGGUUGGUGGCAACAGCCACUUCAAUUCGAUAAUGCUCCUCACCAGCUUCAUCCAUUUUCCCAUAAACUUUCACUUCAUCACCGACUGCUAGAUUCCACCACUGCACGAAUAGAAGCCAUCCACUAGUGAGAACUGGCUUCGGAUAGUCUUUCUUCCUUGUAGAACAAUUAAAAGCCCAGUCUUUGCCAUGCUUGUCCUUCACCUUAAACUCCACCAUAUGCUUGCCACGGAAAUUCAAGAAACAUUUUUUCUUCCUAGAUGGAAUAGGAUCUUCUCAACAUCCGUUUUGGUUAGUCUUUUUUUUUGAAUAGCGCUUUUUCUAUUGCCAUUGUUCAAGGCAAAGUGAGUUGAAGAGGUUAAAGGGUUUUAGUGUUACACAGAGAAACAAUGAAAAUGGCUUGAUAUAAACAAGGGAUUGGAUUCACUGUUUCAUUUUAAUGUCGCGCGAUUAGCAGAAUCGUUCAAUUAUCAGCAUGUAUGUCUCGAGGUUUGUCG